CAUGAGGUCUAUCCCAACUGAAACUUAACCAUAGAUUCAUGUUGUUGGAAAUGCCUCAAAGAGUAAACUUUGUAGUUCUCGCUUUACUUGUUGGAUUAUGCUAUUAACCAGCAAGAUUAAACUACAAACAGUU
Molecule: small nucleolar RNA, 133 nt
Organism: Chiloscyllium plagiosum (whitespotted bambooshark)
Lineage: Eukaryota; Metazoa; Chordata; Chondrichthyes; Orectolobiformes; Hemiscylliidae
Source: RefSeq, a predicted model, not a curated record